CCCCAGACUCCUACGGGAGGCAGCAGUGGGGAAUAUUGCACAAUGGGGGAAACCCUGAUGCAGCGACGCCGCGUGAGUGAAGAAGUAUUUCGGUAUGUAAAGCUCUAUCAGCAGGGAAGAAAAUGACGGUACCUGACUAAGAAGCCCCGGCUAACUACGUGCCAGCAGCCGCGGUAAUACGUAGGGGGCAAGCGUUAUCCGGAUUUACUGGGUGUAAAGGGAGCGUAGACGGCAUGGCAAGUCAGAUGUGAAAGCCCGGGGCUCAACCCCGGGACUGCAUUUGAAACUGUCAGGCUGGAGUGCAGGAGAGGUAAGUGGAAUUCCUAGUGUAGCGGUGAAAUGCGUAGAUAUUAGGAGGAACACCAGUGGCGAAGGCGGCUUACUGGACUGUAACUGACGUUGAGGCUCGAAAGCGUGGGGAGCAAACAGGAUUAGAUACCCGCGUAA
RNAcentral lists this ribosomal RNA (447 nucleotides) under uncultured bacterium. RNAcentral's name for it is "bacterial SSU rRNA". It matches the Rfam family "Bacterial small subunit ribosomal RNA", at positions 329 to 793 of the family's 1533-position model. The record is from RNAcentral.